ACAAGAGAAGGAUCUGGACUCAGAAACUGCAGGACUGGAUCAAAAAUGGAGACAGAGCAUUGACAUCUUAAGACCCUCCUCAGGGAUCAUACACUCCAGUGGGGAAGACAGACACAAAAUAAAUGGUUGAGCAGAAGAAGAUGGAGAUAUGGGCUUGCCUGGCAAGGACAUUCAGUUGUCUCAGAAUGAGAAGAAAGCCCCGACUCUCAUCGUUUGUCCAGAACUUCCAUUUACCCAUUCCCUGAACAAGCGGCACUGGACUGCUGGAAGCCAGAAUCGAACGCCACCCUGCCCGGCUCUCCGAAGGACCAAGCUCUCUGCGGCCGGCCGACCAUGCACACACACAAACUCCGCAGUACUGGACUUUCCAUUACCUACUUCACCACCGGUGUAGAAGUCAGAGUUUGUCGGGUGCACGACAGCAUCACUGUCAAUCGUGGCAAUGUCAGCCUGAACAACUUGCAACUAUAACGGGUAAACAGAUGGGUAUCAACCUUGUUGGUCCGAGAGACCUUCCGCCCAGGCUCUCUACGUUCACGGCUGUGCCAGGGCCCAGAAACCUACUCACUGGCACCCUGCAGGGAAAGAAACUAAUAUGUGGCAUCUGAUGGAAGAGAGAAAUUCUGGAUCAGUGGCCCAAUCCAAAUAAGUAGUUUCUCCAUUUUGUCAUCAGCAAUGAGCUAGCAGCUUUUCUUUUAAAACUUGUGACAGUCGUCAUUUUGUCUGCCUUAAAGGGUUGCCUCCUUUAAACAGAGAAAACAGUAUUUUUGAGUGGGAAGUGCUGGAUGUGUUUUUUUAAAA
Molecule: long non-coding RNA, 801 nt
Organism: Ornithorhynchus anatinus (platypus)
Lineage: Eukaryota; Metazoa; Chordata; Mammalia; Monotremata; Ornithorhynchidae
Exons: 5
Source: RefSeq, a predicted model, not a curated record